RNAcentral lists this long non-coding RNA (474 nucleotides) under Brassica napus (rape). RNAcentral's name for it is "long non-coding RNA (BNAP_LNC003654)". The record is from RNAcentral. Lineage: Eukaryota; Viridiplantae; Streptophyta; Magnoliopsida; Brassicales; Brassicaceae.
ACGUCGGGAGACAGAGCCGGAGAGAUAGGUCGGCGGAGACAGAUAGAUCAGCAGAGAUAGAGGUCGAGAGACGGAUCGGGAGAGAGAGGAAACGUCAGGAGACGGAGCCGGAGCCGGAGAGAUAGAUCGGCCGAGAGAGGGAACGGUGGAGAAAGAGGUCGAGAGACGGAUCGGGAGAGAGAGGAAACGUCGGGAGACGGAGAGAUAGAUCGGCCGAGAGAGGGAACGGCGGAGAAAGAGGUCGAGAGACGGAACGGCUGAGACAGAUUUUGGGAGAGGGAACAGGGUGAGACCGAGAUCGCCGUUGAGAGAGAGAAGGGAGAGGAUGAGAAUGACUCGACUCCCCUGUUCCAACCCUAGACGCACACUCCCUCCCGCGAUGACACGUGCCGUUAAGGACGGACACAAAAACUUCUUAACUAACAUACGUUUUCUUCUUUUUAAUUUCAUUUUGAUUUAUUUUUUCGGUUUAAU